GGAAGUGACUGACCCAAGGCUCAGAAACGUGCUUUUUCCUGCUUUUCUGAACAUCUCACAGAUUGAAUAACCCUUUCAAUCCUUACUGCUACAGUCUCUCUUUGAACUCUCUGGAGUUUUCCUAAAGGUUUAGACAUUAGGCAUCCAAACUUCUGUCAACAUCCAAAUUUUGCAAGUCUGGUGCCAAUUUAGGCAUUGGUGCCUCACAUGGAUUCUCAGGCCUGCCCAGCAUGAAAAAUACAUCUUGAACAUCCCAAGAAGUGUCCAGUUAAAACAGCAAUCUAUGGAAUUUGGGAGAAAAACUGGCUCUACAGCGAUCUGAAAAGAGACAGCUAUUCUACUAGAAGCCUGAAUACUGGAUACUAUAUGACUUCACUGUUGAAAAGGCUCAUUUGGGAGGAAGGGCAGGACAGAAAUUGAUGAUGACGACAAUGAUGAAGACAUGCUACAAAACAAAUCAACAAAAUCUGUCCAAA
Rhineura floridana is the source of this 476-nucleotide long non-coding RNA. RefSeq lists it as uncharacterized. NCBI's taxonomy places the organism in Eukaryota, Metazoa, Chordata, Lepidosauria, Squamata, Rhineuridae. The record is from RefSeq and is a predicted model, not a curated record. The transcript has 3 exons.